AAAUUGAAGAGUUUGAUCAUGGCUCAGAUUGAACGCUGGCGGCAGGCCUAACACAUGCAAGUCGAACGGUAACAGGAAGAAGCUUGCUUCUUUGCUGACGAGUGGCGGACGGGUGAGUAAUGUCUGGGAAACUGCCCGAUGGAGGGGGAUAACUACUGGAAACGGUAGCUAAUACCGCAUAACGUCGCAAGACCAAAGAGGGGGACCUUCGGGCCUCUUGCCAUCGGAUGUGCCCAGAUGGGAUUAGCUUGUUGGUGAGGUAACGGCUCACCAAGGCGACGAUCCCUAGCUGGUCUGAGAGGAUGACCAGCCACACUGGAACUGAGACACGGUCCAGACUCCUACGGGAGGCAGCAGUGGGGA
Molecule: ribosomal RNA, 363 nt
Filed under: Escherichia albertii
Lineage: Bacteria; Pseudomonadati; Pseudomonadota; Gammaproteobacteria; Enterobacterales; Enterobacteriaceae
Description: bacterial SSU rRNA
Rfam family: Bacterial small subunit ribosomal RNA
Source: RNAcentral